UACGUAGGGUGCAAGCGUUGUCCGGAAUUAUUGGGCGUAAAGAGCUCGUAGGCGGUCUGUCACGUCGGAUGUGAAAACUCGGGGCUCAACCCCGAGCCUGCAUUCGAUACGGGCAGACUUGAGUUCGGUAGGGGAGACUGGAAUUCCUGGUGUAGCGGUGAAAUGCGCAGAUAUCAGGAGGAACACCGGUGGCGAAGGCGGGUCUCUGGGCCGAAACUGACGCUGAGGAGCGAAAGCGUGGGGAGCGAACAGGAUUAGAAACCCCCGUAGUCC
RNAcentral lists this ribosomal RNA (273 nucleotides) under uncultured bacterium. Its description in RNAcentral is "partial 16S ribosomal RNA". It matches the Rfam family "Bacterial small subunit ribosomal RNA", at positions 524 to 796 of the family's 1533-position model. The record is from RNAcentral.